GAUGAAGAACGUAGCAAAAUGCGAUAAGUAAUGUGAAUUGCAGAAUUCAGUGAAUCAUCGAAUCUUUGAACGCACAUUGCGCCCGCCAGUAUUCUGGCGGGCAUGCCUGUUCGAGCGUCAUUUCAACCCUCAAGCACAGCUUGGUUUUGGGACUCGCGUUAAUUCGCGUUCCUCAAAUUGAUUGGCGGUCACGUCGAGCUUCCAUAGCGUAGUAGUAAAACCCUCGUUACUGGUAAUCGUCGCGGCCACGCCGUUAAACCCCAACUUCUGAAUGUUGACCUCGGAUCAGGUAGGAAUACCCGCUGAACUUAAGCAUAUCAAUAAGCGGAGGA
This 332-nucleotide unclassified non-coding RNA is filed under the name soil metagenome. Its description in RNAcentral is "partial contains 5.8S ribosomal RNA, internal transcribed spacer 2, and large subunit ribosomal RNA". The stretch from base 1 to 120 matches the Rfam family "5.8S ribosomal RNA", at positions 35 to 154 of the family's 154-position model. The record is from RNAcentral.